CCUAAUCCCUGCAACCUGUGGAUGCUACUUUCAUGGCAAAAUAAUUUUGUAGGUGUUAUUAAGUUAAGGUCUUGCUAUGGGGAGAUUAUCCUGGAUCAUCCGAGUAAGUCAAGUGGGAUUACAAAGGUCCUUUUAUAUGGUACAGGGAACACAAGGAGGCAGAAAGAACUGUGUCCCAAUGUUGUGAGAAGAGAAAGACACAAUGAACCACUGCUGGCUUUGAAGAUGGAAGAGGGAGCUGCAACCCAAAGAAUGCCUCUAGAAGCAGGAGAAGGCAAGAAACAGAUUCUCGCCUAGAGCUUCCAGAAAGGAGCACAGUGCCAGCACUUUGAUGUUAGCCAUUCUUAAGGUGUGGAUUUCUCUUCCACAUGCCAGUGGCAUGGUGCGAAGUAGGCUAUUUUCCUUUACUGACAAUCUAUAGAUUUGUGGCCCAGAAUUUCUGUGGUCUUGAAGUAUUCAGUGCUGGGCAGAGAGAUGUUCUCUGAUUCCAUGUCCCUGUUUUUGUCAAAGACUCUUUAGGUGGUGGGAGAAGAGUAGGGAAUUGGACUGGGGACGUGGGGGUGCACAAGGAAGUCUGGAUUUGGAACUAUGAAGACGGAAUGGGCACAUUUAUUGGAAAGCUGGGUCCAAGAUGUUUGUCUUUCAUGUACACGAGUAUGUGUCUAUGAUGGAGCUUUCUUCUAGGAAGUUUUUCUUAAUGCCCAGGUUGGAUUGAGUGCCCUUUUUGUGUACUGAGUGCAUAUUUCAACCAGGCAUUUAUGUUUCAUGGGUCUGUACUUGCCUUUAGACUGUGAGCUUCUUGAGGAUGGAGGUUGUGUUCUUUUCCUCUCUGUGGAUGACCAGUACCCGGCCCAAUGAUGGCGUCCCUAAAUGCUAGUUGAACUGAGCUGAUGAAGUGUCUAUGUGGCAUCGGGAAAGCCUCUGGUUGUCUAUACUGAUUGUAGAAACUAGACAACUAACAAUGGAAUGAAAUGCUCUGAGAAAUUGGCUCGGCAGUGUUUUCUCAUUUGUGCUUAAUUUUUAUUUAGCAAUUUAGAAUAGUGAAAUAUUAGAAAUAAGCUAAAUGUUAAAUAUGCUAUGGUGCACCAACUCAAUAGAAUUUGAUGUAAUGAUUUUACCAUUUCUAUCAUGUUUAGUAUACACAAGUAACUAGAAAAGAAAAAUACCAUAAUGCCAAUUUAUCUGAAUGCUAUGGCUACAUAAAAAUAUAAUAACACAAAUCUUAGAACUACUUUUCCAAAUUACCUAAAUGUGUUAUUACUAUUUCAUAACUAAGAAAGGAUAGAUUCUGAAAAUCAUUCUUGUGCAGCACAAUUAUGAUCAUAGAUUUUAAGUGUUAAGUUUUCUGUUUUGUUUGAUUACAACCUGAAACCAUGUAUUGUUUCUCAGUCCUUGCUGUUGUACGCAUAGCAUGGUAUCUGCUCAUAAUUAAAAAGCAUGAAAGUUACUGAUUGAUGGAUUAAUAUUUAUUUAUUUUGGAAAUAUUGCAGGAGACUAGCUACUGACAUCAAUCUGAAUUGAUUUUAGCAUCACUGUGAUUUGUGCAGGGCACUUCCUUGUGAUACAGUGGCAUUGCACAUUAAGUGCUUAGGCUCUGGAAUUAAACAAACCUGGG
This 1615-nucleotide long non-coding RNA is filed under the name Homo sapiens (human). RNAcentral describes it as "HSALNT0246979". The record is from RNAcentral. Lineage: Eukaryota; Metazoa; Chordata; Mammalia; Primates; Hominidae.